This 233-nucleotide long non-coding RNA is filed under the name Theobroma cacao (cacao). Its description in RNAcentral is "long non-coding RNA (TCAC_LNC002716)". The record is from RNAcentral. Lineage: Eukaryota; Viridiplantae; Streptophyta; Magnoliopsida; Malvales; Malvaceae.
UUUUUCUCUCUUCUUCUUCUAUUUUUCUUCUUUUUUCUCUUUUCUCUCUUGGUUUCUUUUCCUUCCUUCUUUUUCUUUCUUUUUCUCCUUAGCCGCCGGCCUCCUUCUCUCUCUUCUUCCUCAUUCUUUAAUCGGUGCCGAUUCGACCCUCUUUCUCCCAACCGAUGCCCCUCACUUACUCUCUUUCUCCCACCCUCCAAAAUCAACUCUCUCCUUCACACCCAAAUCCGCCC